Long non-coding RNA from Acomys russatus (golden spiny mouse), 533 nucleotides. RefSeq lists it as uncharacterized. Lineage: Eukaryota; Metazoa; Chordata; Mammalia; Rodentia; Muridae. The record is from RefSeq and is a predicted model, not a curated record. The transcript has 3 exons.
CAUUUUCAUUCAGACCACUACAAUUACUGUGAUGACUUCUGCUCCUUUUCCUCAAAUGACAUAAUUUCAUUCUUUACACUGAAUGAACUCCAUGGUACUUACACUCAUGCUUAGAUCAUAAUACAUCAUUCUUAAAUACUUAUAUUCUUUCCAGUGAAUUUCAAAUAAGAAGAUAUAUGUGCCAGGAGGGUCUGGGGGACAUCUUGUUCAGGGAAACUGGCUAACACCAAGAAAGGACCCAACAGAUCUGGUUUAGAACCUUAUAUAUAUAAAAAAAUGAAAAUGAAGAAAAUUGAGCAACAUACUACACAAGCCAGUGACUACCUAAAGCAGUCUGAAGAGGACCUGGAUGAAGACCCUUCGUGGAAUUCCAGGAGGACCAGCCUCAACAGGAGUUUUCAGUGAGUAUUUCUGUGGGACUCUCAGCAAGAGCUUUUAGAUUCUGUCCUCCGAGCUGAUUAGGAAUAAAGGUUUAUUUGGUCAGAAUAGGAAGAGAAAAAUGCAUGUGAAGUGACAUUAUUUUUCUUAUGUUA